This 502-nucleotide ribosomal RNA is filed under the name uncultured bacterium. RNAcentral describes it as "bacterial SSU rRNA". It matches the Rfam family "Bacterial small subunit ribosomal RNA", at positions 15 to 518 of the family's 1533-position model. The record is from RNAcentral.
GAUCAUGGCUCGGGAUGAACGCUGGCGGCGUGCUUAACACAUGCAAGUCGAACGGAGUUUUAAACGGAAGUUUUCGGAUGGAAGUUUAGAAACUUAGUGGCGGACGGGUGAGUAACGCGUGGGUAACCUGCCUCAUACAGGGGGAUAACAGUUAGAAAUGACUGCUAACACCGCAUAAUAUAGCGAAACCGCAUGAUUUUGCUAUCAAAUAUUUAUAGGUAUGAGAUGGGCCCGCGUCUGAUUAGCUAGUUGGUGGGGUAAAAGCCUACCAAGGCGACGAUCAGUAGCCGGCUUGAGAGAGUGACCGGCCACAUUGGGACUGAGACACGGCCCAAACUCCUACGGGAGGCAGCAGUGGGGAAUAUUGGACAAUGGGGGAAACCCUGAUCCAGCCGACGCCGCGUGAGUGAAGAAGUAUUUCGGUAUGUAAAGCUCUAUCAGCAGGGAAGAUAAUGACAGUACCUGACUAAGAAGCCCCGGCUAACUACGUGCCAGCCGCCGC